This 458-nucleotide ribosomal RNA is filed under the name uncultured bacterium. RNAcentral describes it as "partial 16S ribosomal RNA". It matches the Rfam family "Bacterial small subunit ribosomal RNA", at positions 28 to 523 of the family's 1533-position model. The record is from RNAcentral.
GAUGAACGCUGGCGGCGUGCCUAAUACAUGCAAGUCGAGCGGAAAGGCCCCUUCGGGGGUACUCGAGCGGCGGACGGCUGAGUAACACGUAGGAACGUACCCCAAAGUGAGGGAUAAGCACCAGAAAUGGUGUCUAAUACCGCAUGUGCUCUAAGGAGUAAAGCUUCGGCGCUUUGGGAACGGCCUGCGCAUGAUUAGCUUGUUGGUGAGGUAAUAGCUCACCAAGGCGACGAUCAUUAGCUGGUCUGAGAGGAUGACCAGCCAGACUGGAACUGAGAACGGUCCAGACUCCUACGGGAGGCAGCAGUAGGGAAUAUUGCACAAUGGGCAAAAGCUUGAUGCAGCAACGCCGCGUGAGCGAUGAAGGCCUUCGGGUCGUAAAGCUCUGUCCUCAAGGAAGAUAAUGACGGUACUUGAGGAGGAAGCCCCGGCUAACUACGUGCCAGCAGCCGCGGUAA